This 451-nucleotide ribosomal RNA is filed under the name Dermacentor nuttalli. RNAcentral describes it as "partial large subunit ribosomal RNA". Lineage: Eukaryota; Metazoa; Arthropoda; Arachnida; Ixodida; Ixodidae. The record is from RNAcentral.
AAUGGACUUACAAGGUAUUGUAAUAAGGUUUUAAUUGAAUGCUAAAAGAAUGGAAUUACAGGGAAAAGUUUUUUUAAAUUUAAUAAUUGAAGUUAUUUUAAUUUGUGAAGAAACAAUUAUAUAAAUUAAAGACAAGAAGACCCUAAGAAUUUAAGAAUUUUUAUUAAUAUAUUAUAUGUAUAUAUAUAUAAAUAAAAUUCUUAGUUGGGGCAACUAAAAAAAAUAUUAAACUUUUUUUUUUAAAAAAAGAACCCUUUUUUAUGGUAAUGAUAAAAAAAAAACCCUAGGGUAACCACCACAAAAUUUUUGUUUUAAUUUUAUCAAAAAAAAAUUUUGGACCCCCACCUUGGGUUUGGAAACCUUUUUUAUUAAAAAGUUAAAAAAAAAAAAUUGGUUCACUUUUAAAUUCCCACCCGAACCGGAUUUAAACCCAAAAAAAAGAGGGAGAGGA